GAUGAACGCUGGCGGCGUGCCUAAUACAUGCAAGUCGAGCGAACGGACGAGAAGCUUGCUUCUCUGAUGUUAGCGGCGGACGGGUGAGUAACACGUGGAUAACCUACCUAUAAGACUGGGAUAACUUCGGGAAACCGGAGCUAAUACCGGAUAAUAUUUUGAACCGCAUGGUUCAAAAGUGAAAGACGGUCUUGCUGUCACUUAUAGCUGGAUCCGCGCUGCAUUAGCUAGUUGGUAAGGUAACGGCUUACCAAGGCAACGAUGCAUAGCCGACCUGAGAGGGUGAUCGGCCACACUGGAACUGAGACACGGUCCAGACUCCUACGGGAGGCAGCAGUAGGGAAUCUUCCGCAAUGGGCGAAAGCCUGACGGAGCAACGCCGCGUGAGUGACGAAGGUCUUCGGAUCGUAAAACUCUGUUAUUAGGGAAGAACAUAUGUGUAAGUAACUGUGCACAUCUUGACGGUACCUAAUCAGAAAGCCACGGCUAACUACGUG
RNAcentral lists this ribosomal RNA (497 nucleotides) under uncultured bacterium. RNAcentral describes it as "partial 16S ribosomal RNA". It matches the Rfam family "Bacterial small subunit ribosomal RNA", at positions 28 to 507 of the family's 1533-position model. The record is from RNAcentral.